Pezoporus occidentalis (night parrot) is the source of this 2070-nucleotide long non-coding RNA. RefSeq lists it as uncharacterized. Lineage: Eukaryota; Metazoa; Chordata; Aves; Psittaciformes; Psittacidae. The record is from RefSeq and is a predicted model, not a curated record. The transcript has 4 exons.
GCAGCCUGGGGAUUGCUGAGCUCCACACUGCUUUCUUGGCAGCCACCAUCUGGCUGGCUAAUUACUGCAUGUUAUAACGUCCUUUGGGAGUUUGAAGUACUUGUUAGUGCUAAUAAUGACAGUAAUAGUCAAGAUUAAAAAUAAGGCAGCAAAGUGGAGAGAUUGGAUGCUCAACUGCACUGAUAACCAAGGGGAUUCCCCCUGAAUCCUUCCCUUGUUACAAGGUGAUGGUCAUGGUCCCCCUGCAUGGGACAAGGAUUUGGGGACAUUUCAGAAGCACCAAACUUCUGUCUCUGAUUUGUUGUUAUUGUCUCCUCCUUUGCAGGCUGUUUGCCUCAAUUUCAAUGAAAAGACAGCAGAGGAGAGUGAGUGAUGGCCCAAAUAAUCUACAGCUGCUAUCAAAUCAAGGUGUGGGGGUAAGUGAUGCUCCACAGAGCGUUUAAAGCAGAGGCUAGUGGUGUGAGCUCAGGUAAAUGGUGGUGUUACUGGGCUUUUAUGUAGCAAUAAUACAGGUCUUGGAAACUCAGAGAGGAAUUUGUACUUGGUGCUGCUAUCACUGAAAAAAGUGACCAAGGGAUGUGUUCCAGCAGGUAAAAUUGUGGUUCCUGUAGAAACUAGACACAAGAUUAAAUGUAUUGUAAAAUACAUGCCAAGCCAUACAGCAGCUGGGACUCACAAAGCAGGCUGUGCAAAUGUUGUGAUGCAUUUUGCCAAAACCAGCACAGAAACUGCAGACAGGAGAAGUGUAAAUGGCUGAAGGUUAACAGAGGACAACAAGGCACUACAGGGCUGCUCACAAGUGGAAUCGUCUACGUGCUGCCAUGGAAACAGCAGCCUUGGUCCCCAGCACAGCUUGCAGCCAUCUGCAAGGGAACAAUUGUUGGCCUGUUUGUUUAAAACCAUCCGGGGUGGUGCUGGGCGGUGUGUGGCUGGCCAAGGGGAAGCCACAUGGGACAUGACAGGACGUGCUUGUCACACUGAAUAACACAGCAGACAAAUGCCCACAGAUGGGAUCGACAGUGUCCUGUCUGGAGAAGCGCUGAUGUGCAAAACUGGUGUGAAUCACGUUGGUUGAAUGACUGUUUGAGACCCAGGAACUGCAGCACAUGGCUUGUGAUGCUCACAUGCAUUCACCCUGAUGGGUUUCGGUUCGUGUGGACCCCGGCAAGCAGAGGUCUGUGCAUGCAAAGUCUGUGAGAGGCCACAGUGUGGGAGCACUGAGCAGGCUGCUGCUCCCGAGGAGCUGGAUUUUGACUGCUCCGGUGGGAAACGGAGCCAGGUUAACUUUCUGCACGCGAACAGUUUGACUGAACACACCAGGCUUCUUGGCAUGAAACCGGUGCAGAGGACUGAGCAUCAGCCAGCAUUUGCCAAAAAUGCUGGGAAACCAGCUCCUGGCUUUACUCAGCCAUGUGCUGGGCUUCAAAUCUGUGAAGAAGAGGUUCUGUUUGCCGGCAGUUGCUCUACCUGAAGAGAUGCACAUAGAAAAGAAAUGCACAUGGGAAAUGGCAGAGAAUCUGAUCCACACUAACCUCCUCCCUGCUUGGGUGGGACUAUUAAGCCCAGGUUUGGUCUGCUGGAUCAUGACCUAAAUGUGCUCUGAUGUCGAGUGUGUAUUACUCUGAUCUGCUGUUGCCAUGUGGAAAGUCACUGGAGAGCCCUGCCAGAAGGAGGUGUCCUUCCUCUGCUAGGAAUGGGUGAGGGUACAACCUGCUGGCUGCCAGCUCUGCCCUUUACCCUUCAGAGGUCCUUCAGCACCAUCAGUACCCAGCUGUGAGCUGCCUUGUGUUUCCUCACCCUUGUCAUCUGCCUGGAAGACCAGUGCAGGCAGUGUGGAGGCUCAGGACUUUGCCUGGAGUCCACGGAGGAGCUGAUUUGUCCCCAUUGGCAGGAAGGGGAGCUCAAACAGUCUCCAAACACGUGUGCAUGGAACCUGCUGAGCUGAGCUCGCACACCCACAGUCCUUCCCUCACCCAGCAGCCGAGCACAGCCCUGUCUGACACAGCUGGCAGUCAUUCCAGCUAGCUCAUGAAACCCCUUCAUUUCUGCUUGUUCCCCUCUCUGAGACCA